This 208-nucleotide ribosomal RNA is filed under the name uncultured bacterium. RNAcentral describes it as "partial 16S ribosomal RNA". It matches the Rfam family "Bacterial small subunit ribosomal RNA", at positions 568 to 774 of the family's 1533-position model. The record is from RNAcentral.
UGCGCAGGUGGGCUGGUAAGUUCGAUGUGAAAGCCCCGGGCUUAACCCGGGAAAGGCAUUGGAUACUACUGGUCUGGAGGAUUGGAGGGGGGACGUGGAAUUCUUGGUGUAGCAGUGAAAUGCGUAGAUAUCAAGAGGAACACCAGUGGCGAAGGCGAGUCCCUGGACAAUACCUGACACUGAGGCACGAAAGCCAAGGGAGCAAACA